GAUGAACGCUAGCGGCAGGCUUAACACAUGCAAGUCGAGGGGCAGCACGGUAGCAAUACUGGUGGCGACCGGCAAACGGGUGCGGAACACGUACAGAACCUACCUUGAUCUGGGGCAUAGCCCGGAGAAAUCCGGAUUAACUCCCCAUAACAUAGAUGAGUGGCAUCACUUGACUAUUAAAAAUUUAUUGGAUCGAGAUGGCUGUGCGUCCCAUUAGCUAGUUGGUAGGGUAACGGCCUACCAAGGCGACGAUGGGUAGCUGGUGUGAGAGCACGACCAGCCACACGGGCACUGAGACACGGGGCCCGACUCCUACGGGAGGCAGCAGUGAGGAAUAUUGGUCAAUGGACGCAAGUCUGAACCAGCCAUGCCGCGUGAAGGAUGAAGGCCUUCUGGGUUGUAAACUUCUUUUACCUGGGAAGAAACCUCCGAUUUCUAUUGGAGUUGACGGUACCAGAGGAAUAAGCACCGGCUAACUCCGUGCCAGCAGCCGCGGUAAU
This 500-nucleotide ribosomal RNA is filed under the name uncultured bacterium. RNAcentral's name for it is "bacterial SSU rRNA". It matches the Rfam family "Bacterial small subunit ribosomal RNA", at positions 28 to 524 of the family's 1533-position model. The record is from RNAcentral.